GUGAAGUGGCAGCUUUUAUUUGCAGUGCACACUACAUUUCAUAGUCUGGAAAUUCUCACUAGAAAAAUCAGAAAACCAAAUUACUUCUUCCUAUGGUGUUUUAUGGCUGAGUCAAGCCACUUUUGUAUGUAAAAGUAGCAUUUUCAUUGCAUUCAGUGGUAUAAGAUAAGGCUGUAGAAUUGUGCAACAAACCUGCCAGCUAUAAAAGCUUUUAGAUAAUAAACUUUUUGAUUUUUUUUUUUUAAUGCAAGUAAAUCCCCACCUACUAGCCGUUACUGCAAUUGAGUCUACCUACACCUGUGCCUACUUCUACAGGUGCUGGGGGUUGCAAUCUCAUUGAGUGACUAUCAAAAGGCUAUGAGCAAUCUGUACUACCUGAGUAUGAAAGGGGGUUGUUGAAAGAAAGUUCCCUAGGUGCUAUUUAGGGGUGAUCCAAGAAGAGAAACAAGGUGUGAAUAAGAAGCAAUGUGAGCAGAGGAGUUGUAAAUAGGCUGGUGGCCUCCAGUUCUCCUUCUGUCUAAUGAGAGUGAGGAAUUGACAGUAUUUAUUGUAAGAUAUCCUUAACUCAUGAGAGGGUAUGAGAAGAGGUCUUUUCUGUCCUCAUAUUGGGAAAAAAUGAACCGGCCAUUACAGCAAGAAACACUGAAACAUUUCAUUCAUGAGUGGGAUCAAAUUUGCGUAAUGCCUGCCAAGCCUCCACCAGGAAAGGAACUGCCAAUAGCCACUGGAGUAAAAGAUGAUCAGAGUUCCAAUAUGGCCAUGCUGUUGAAAGGGAAGCACUGAAUACACAGCUCAUUUAUCAAGGCAAAAGUGUUUAACUAUGACCUUAAGCACAUGCUGCUGCUUGUUAGUUUAACUGAAGCUACACAAACAUGAUAAAAGAUCUGCAAGAAGAUAAUUUCCUUUGAAAAUCACAGCCAAAUCUAGAUUUCUUGUAAUGGCCAUACCUCAUGAUAUAUUUUUCACUAGUCCUGAGGAAAAAGGAAAACAAAAAAAAAAACAAAAAAAAAAAAACAUGGAAGAGCUAUCUCACACUUUUUAGCCAAGGGUUCUGAGUACCACCAACUGGGUCAUUACUGAGAAGCUUGUGUAUUUACACUUUAUCACGCUAGUUGGCAGUCAUACCCAAAGAAAAGGACCUGAAUAUAGAGUUGAGAAAGGGCACUUGUUCUGCCAGCAAAGCAAGGUGCAUUGUGCAAAAGUACUUUGACAAUCAAUUAUUAAGUAUACAGAGAUGACAACUCAUAUACAUGUAUAUAAAUCGAUAACCUUUGGGCACUUAAUCCCCAGGGAUCACAGCAGACAGUGACGAAAAGUAUCAAGGUCAGUUAUAAUGAAGUCAAAGUGAUGAAGAACAGAUGCAACCUGCUCUAGCCCUAAGAAAGCACCCAUUAAAGUUGUGGUGAAAAUUUUAUUUUUCUUUAGCGAAAUUGCAAUAUAAUAUCUCACUAUUAGUAUCUGAAAGUAAAGUUCAUAUUCAAGA
This is a long non-coding RNA of Oxyura jamaicensis (ruddy duck), 1483 nucleotides long. RefSeq lists it as uncharacterized. The record is from RefSeq and is a predicted model, not a curated record. NCBI's taxonomy places the organism in Eukaryota, Metazoa, Chordata, Aves, Anseriformes, Anatidae. The transcript is spliced from 4 exons.